RNAcentral lists this ribosomal RNA (467 nucleotides) under uncultured bacterium. Its description in RNAcentral is "partial 16S ribosomal RNA". It matches the Rfam family "Bacterial small subunit ribosomal RNA", at positions 28 to 506 of the family's 1533-position model. The record is from RNAcentral.
GACGAACGCUGGCGGCGUGCUUAACACAUGCAAGUCGAACGGAAAGGCCCUGCUUUUGUGGGGUGCUCGAGUGGCGAACGGGUGAGUAACACGUGAGUAACCUGCCCUUGACUUUGGGAUAACUUCAGGAAACUGGGGCUAAUACCGGAUAGGAGCUCCUGCUGCAUGGUGGGGGUUGGAAAGUUUCGGCGGUUGGGGAUGGACUCGCGGCUUAUCAGCUUGUUGGUGGGGUAGUGGCUUACCAAGGCUUUGACGGGUAGCCGGCCUGAGAGGGUGACCGGCAACAUUGGGACUGAGAUACGGCCCAGACUCCUACGGGGGGCAGGAGUGGGGAAUAUUGCACAAUGGGCGGAAGCCGGAUGCAGCACCGCCGCGUGCGGGAUGACGGCCUUCGGGUAGUAAACCGCUUUCGCCUGUGACGAAGCGUGAGUGACGGUAAUGGGUAAAGAAGCACCGGCUAACUACGU